Molecule: non-coding RNA, 102 nt
Filed under: Winkia neuii
Lineage: Bacteria; Bacillati; Actinomycetota; Actinomycetes; Actinomycetales; Actinomycetaceae
Also listed under: 1 other name
Description: Actinomyces neuii TPP sequence
Rfam family: TPP riboswitch aptamer (THI element)
About the family: Vitamin B(1) in its active form thiamin pyrophosphate (TPP) is an essential coenzyme that is synthesised by coupling of pyrimidine and thiazole moieties in bacteria.
Source: RNAcentral
UGUCCCCGACAGGGGAGCUGUUUGGCUGAGAGUGCGGAUGGUCCGCAGACCCUCGAACCUGAUCCGGGUAAUGCUGGCGUAGGUGGUCGAGCUCUGCCACGU